RNAcentral lists this ribosomal RNA (155 nucleotides) under Perkinsus marinus ATCC 50983. RNAcentral's name for it is "5.8S ribosomal RNA". It matches the Rfam family "5.8S ribosomal RNA". From Rfam's summary of the family: 5.8S ribosomal RNA (5.8S rRNA) is a component of the large subunit of the eukaryotic ribosome. It is transcribed by RNA polymerase I as part of the 45S precursor that also contains 18S and 28S rRNA. Functionally, it is thought that 5.8S rRNA may be involved in ribosome translocation. The record is from Rfam by way of RNAcentral. Lineage: Eukaryota; Perkinsozoa; Perkinsida; Perkinsidae.
AACUCUCAACGAUGGAUGCCUCGGCUCGAGAAUCGAUGAAGGACGCAGCGAAGCGCGAUAAGCACUGCGAUAUCAUGAAUCCUUCGAAUAUACCGGUAUACUCGACGCUGACCGAGUUGGCAGCUAUCGAAUACCCGAAAUAUAUCGAAAUGUCA